Non-coding RNA from Caenorhabditis elegans, 116 nucleotides. NCBI's taxonomy places the organism in Eukaryota, Metazoa, Nematoda, Chromadorea, Rhabditida, Rhabditidae. The record is from Ensembl.
GCAAGAGUUGUGAUGACUUACUUAGGACACCUUUGGAGGGCCUCGGUCUGCUGAAAAGAAAAAUAGUACGCCUUAGUCUGAGCUCUUGUCUCUCGAUAAAUUUUUGGAAAGCUUCC